This 481-nucleotide ribosomal RNA is filed under the name Serratia sp. (in: enterobacteria). Its description in RNAcentral is "bacterial SSU rRNA". The record is from RNAcentral. Lineage: Bacteria; Pseudomonadati; Pseudomonadota; Gammaproteobacteria; Enterobacterales; Yersiniaceae.
AGCUUGCUUCCUGGGUGACGAGCGGCGGACGGGUGAGUUAUGUCUGGSAAACUGCCUGAUGGAGGGGGAUAACUACUGGAAACGGUAUUUUAUACCGCAUAACGUCGCAAGACCAAAGAGGGGGACCUUCUUGCCUCUUGCCAUCCCUUGUGCCCAUUUGGGAUUAGCUAGUACGUGGGGUAAUGGCUCACCUACGCUACSAUCCCUAGCUGGUCUGAGAGGAUGACCAGCCACUCUGCAACUGAUUCACSGUCCAGACUCCUACAGGAGGCAGCAGUGGGGAAUAUUGAACAAUGGGCGCAAGCCUGAUGCAGCCAUGCCGCGUGUGUGAAGAAGGCCUUCGGGUUGUAAAGCACUUUCAGCGAGGAGGAAGGUGGUGAACUUAAUACUUUCAUCAAUUGACGUUACUCGCAGAAGAAGCACCGGCUAACUCCGUGCCACCCAGCCGCGGUAAUACGGAGGGUGCAAGCCUUAAUCCASA